Molecule: ribosomal RNA, 430 nt
Filed under: Pseudomonadota bacterium
Lineage: Bacteria; Pseudomonadati; Pseudomonadota
Description: Proteobacteria bacterium partial 16S ribosomal RNA
Rfam family: Bacterial small subunit ribosomal RNA
Source: RNAcentral
UGGGGAAUAUUGGACAAUGGGGGGAACCCUGAUCCAGCCAUGCCGCGUGUGUGAAGAAGGCCUUAUGGUUGUAAAGCACUUUAAGCGAGGAGGAGGGUACUGGUAUUAAUACUACCAGGUACUGGACGUUACUCGCAGAAUAAGCACCGGCUAACUCUGUGCCAGCAGCCGCGGUAAUACAGAGGGUGCGAGCGUUAAUCGGAUUUACUGGGCGUAAAGCGUGCGUAGGCGGCUAAUUGAGUCGGAUGUGAAAUCCCCGAGCUUAACUUGGGAAUUGCAUUCGAUACUGGUUAGCUAGAGUGUGGGAGAGGAUGGUAGAAUUCCAGGUGUAGCGGUGAAAUGCGUAGAGAUCUGGAGGAAUACCGAUGGCGAAGGCAGCCAUCUGGCCUAACACUGACGCUGAGGUACGAAAGCAUGGGGGGCAAACAGG